Cucumis melo (muskmelon) is the source of this 416-nucleotide long non-coding RNA. RefSeq lists it as uncharacterized. The record is from RefSeq and is a predicted model, not a curated record. Lineage: Eukaryota; Viridiplantae; Streptophyta; Magnoliopsida; Cucurbitales; Cucurbitaceae. The transcript is spliced from 2 exons.
CGUCAUACUCCACACCCACCUCAUCCAAGAAUAAAUGGGCUGGCUUACGGACCACCUAUCAAACAUUAAAUUUAACCAACAUCAAUCAGCUGAACAAGAUCAGAAUAUUUGUUUCCGACGCAAAUUAAUCCAAUUUUUUAAGAAAAGAACAAAACAGAAAAAAAAAACAGAGCAUCAUUCAAAUAUGGAAAGGAAAUGAAUUUCUUACCAUAGCAGAGAAGAGUUGGCCGCCGAGCCAUGCACCGCCACCGGGGCUCACGGAUUGUUCGAUGAUGGCAAUACGAAUAUUGGGGUUUUUGCUGAGUUCGUAAGCGCAAGAGAGCCCAGCGGAGCCAGCGCCGACGAUGAUAACGUCAGUGUCAGCGUAGGUAAUCAUAUCGGUCAUGUAACGACGGGUCAUCUCCCGAGAGACGAUA